UUUAUGGAGAGUUUGAUCCUGGCUCAGGAUGAACGCUGGCGGCGUGCCUAAUACAUGCAAGUCGAGCGAACGGACGAGAAGCUUGCUUUUCUGAUGUUAGCGGCGGACGGGUGAGUAACACGUGGAUAACCUACCUAUAAGACUGGGAUAACUUCGGGAAACCGGAGCUAAUACCGGAUAAUA
Molecule: ribosomal RNA, 183 nt
Filed under: Staphylococcus aureus
Lineage: Bacteria; Bacillati; Bacillota; Bacilli; Caryophanales; Staphylococcaceae
Description: partial 16S ribosomal RNA
Rfam family: Bacterial small subunit ribosomal RNA
Source: RNAcentral